AAUAUUAACACUAACUUUGGCCAGUGUUUGUGACCAAUUGGUAUGUCCAGUUUUUUUUAGCAGUCACUUGGUCACAAACACUGGCCAAAGUUAGUGUUAAUAU
This is a non-coding RNA of Pelobates cultripes (western spadefoot toad), 103 nucleotides long. Lineage: Eukaryota; Metazoa; Chordata; Amphibia; Anura; Pelobatidae. The record is from the annotation of a GenBank genome assembly.